UACGUAGGUGGCAAGCGUUGUCCGGAAUUAUUGGGCGUAAAGCGCGCGCAGGUGGUUUCUUAAGUCUGAUGUGAAAGCCCACGGCUCAACCGUGGAGGGUCAUUGGAAACUGGGAGACUUGAGUGCAGAAGAGGAAAGUGGAAUUCCAUGUGUAGCGGUGAAAUGCGUAGAGAUAUGGAGGAACACCAGUGGCGAAGGCGGCUUUCUGGUCUGUAACUGACGCUGAGGCGCGAAAGCGUGGGGAGCAAACAGG
Molecule: ribosomal RNA, 253 nt
Filed under: uncultured bacterium
Lineage: Bacteria
Description: partial 16S ribosomal RNA
Rfam family: Bacterial small subunit ribosomal RNA
Source: RNAcentral